GAUGAACGCUGGCGGCGUGCCUAAUACAUGCAAGUCGAGCGAACGGACGAGAAGCUUGCUUCUCUGAUGUUAGCGGCGGACGGGUGAGUAACACGUGGAUAACCUACCUAUAAGACUGGGAUAACUUCGGGAAACCGGAGCUAAUACCGGAUAAUAUUUUGAACCGCAUGGUUCAAAAGUGAAAGACGGUCUUGCUGUCACUUAUAGAUGGAUCCGCGCUGCAUUAGCUAGUUGGUAAGGUAACGGCUUACCAAGGCAACGAUGCAUAGCCGACCUGAGAGGGUGAUCGGCCACACUGGAGCUGAGACACGGUCCAGACUCCUACGGGAGGCAGCAGUAGGGAAUCUUCCGCAAUGGGCGAAAGCCUGACGGAGCAACGCCGCGUGAGUGAUGAAGGUCUUCGGAUCGUAAAACUCUGUUAUUAGGGAAGAACAUAUGUGUAAGUAACUGUGCACAUCUUGACGGUACCUAAUCAGAAAGCCACGGCUAACUACGUGCCAGCAGCCGCGGUAAUACGUAGGUGGCAAGCGUUAUCCGGAAUUAUUGGGCGUAAAGCGCGCGUAGGCGGUUUUUUAAGUCUGAUGUGAAAGCCCACGGCUCAACCGUGGAGGGUCAUUGGAAACUGGAAAACUUGAGUGCAGAAGAGGAAAGUGGAAUUCCAUGUGUAGCGGUGAAAUGCGCAGAGAUAUGGAGGAACACCAGUGGCGAAGGCGACUUUCUGGUCUGUAACUGACGCUGAUGUGCGAAAGCGUGGGGAUCAAACAGGAUUAGAUACCCUGGUAGUCCACGCCGUAAACGAUGAGUGCUAAGUGUUAGGGGGUUUCCGCCCCUUAGUGCUGCAGCUAACGCAUUAAGCACUCCGCCUGGGGAGUACGACCGCAAGGUUGAAACUCAAAGGAAUUGACGGGGACCCGCACAAGCGGUGGAGCAUGUGGUUUAAUUCGAAGCAACGCGAAGAACCUUACCAAAUCUUGACAUCCUUUGACAACUCUAGAGAUAGAGCCUUCCCCUUCGGGGGGGCAAAGUGACAGGUGGUGCAUGGUUGUUGUCAGCUCGCGUCGUGAGAUGUUGGGUUAAGUCCCGCAACGAGCGCAACCCUUAAGCUUAGUUGCCAUCAUUAAGUUGGGCACUCUAAGUUGACUGCCGGUGACAAACCGGAGGAAGGUGGGGAUGACGUCAAAUCAUCAUGCCCCUUAUGAUUUGGGCUACACACGUGCUACAAUGGACAAUACAAAGGGCAGCGAAACCGCGAGGUCAAGCAAAUCCCAUAAAGUUGUUCUCAGUUCGGAUUGUAGUCUGCAACUCGACUACAUGAAGCUGGAAUCGCUAGUAAUCGUAGAUCAGCAUGCUACGGUGAAUACGUUCCCGGGUCU
Molecule: ribosomal RNA, 1373 nt
Filed under: uncultured bacterium
Lineage: Bacteria
Description: bacterial SSU rRNA
Rfam family: Bacterial small subunit ribosomal RNA
Source: RNAcentral